RNAcentral lists this ribosomal RNA (465 nucleotides) under Vreelandella stevensii. Its description in RNAcentral is "partial 16S ribosomal RNA". It matches the Rfam family "Bacterial small subunit ribosomal RNA", at positions 338 to 795 of the family's 1533-position model. The record is from RNAcentral. Lineage: Bacteria; Pseudomonadati; Pseudomonadota; Gammaproteobacteria; Oceanospirillales; Halomonadaceae.
UCUACGGGCGGCAGCAGUGGGGAAUAUUGGACAAUGGGCGAAAGCCUGAUCCAGCCAUGCCGCGUGUGUGAAGAAGGCCUUCGGGUUGUAAAGCACUUUCAGUGGGGAAGAAAGCCUUGGGGCUAAUACCCUCGAGGAAGGACAUCACCCACAGAAGAAGCACCGGCUAACUCCGUGCCAGCAGCCGCGGUAAUACGGAGGGUGCGAGCGUUAAUCGGAAUUACUGGGCGUAAAGCGCGCGUAGGCGGUCUGAUAAGCCGGUUGUGAAAGCCCCGGGCUCAACCUGGGAACGGCAUCCGGAACUGUCAGGCUAGAGUGCGGGAGAGGAAGGUAGAAUUCCCGGUGUAGCGGUGAAAUGCGUAGAGAUCGGGAGGAAUACCAGUGGCGAAGGCGGCCUUCUGGACUGACACUGACGCUGAGGUGCGAAAGCGUGGGUAGCAAACAGGAUUAGAUACCCUUGUAGUC